Biomphalaria glabrata is the source of this 515-nucleotide long non-coding RNA. RefSeq lists it as uncharacterized. NCBI's taxonomy places the organism in Eukaryota, Metazoa, Mollusca, Gastropoda, Planorbidae. The transcript has 8 exons. The record is from RefSeq and is a predicted model, not a curated record.
CAUCAAAGAAUCGAGGGGGGUGGUAAUUUCCCAUUUUACAUUUUUAAAGCUAGUAUAAGAAACAGUUUGGCAUAUCUUUUUCUUCUGUUAGAAGCUAGUAAGCUGACAGUCGAUUUAUCGAUGUCCUCUGAGCAGUGAAGAUACUUCCACAUUUUAAGUUAUCAUCAAACGUUGAACUAUGGGGAUGAAGGUUGUAAUGGUUCUCAUGUUUGUUUUGUCUUUCUAUGGACUUUCAAGAUCUAGGCCAUUGGAGGCUCCCCCAGAGAGAAAAGGCAUGUUGUAUUUUCUAGUGGAUGUCAAUGCCUAUGAAGCUCAACAAGUGAUAAAUUUCAACGAUCUUUCGGCAAUAAUAGGAGAAAAUUCCACAUUGAACAAAGUAUUUCCCAAUUUGUGGUGAUCACUCCAAAAUCGGGAUGAACAAGAGAAAAAUUCUGCAGUUUGUCUAUGAUGACUUGAAUGUCAGAUUUAAAAGAUACAAUUUAACUAGAAAUAUCAUGUAAUAAAACAUAACUAUA